Acipenser ruthenus (sterlet) is the source of this 1425-nucleotide long non-coding RNA. RefSeq lists it as uncharacterized. The transcript has 3 exons. NCBI's taxonomy places the organism in Eukaryota, Metazoa, Chordata, Actinopteri, Acipenseriformes, Acipenseridae. The record is from RefSeq and is a predicted model, not a curated record.
CCAAAAGUACAGAAAGGAAAAACACAGGGGGGAGGAACACAUUGGAACUGGACUGUGGCCAUUUUGGACACUGAAGGAAGAGAAGCAGCACUGGAACAACAAAUACAUUGAAGAGAAGCAGAAGGAAAUAAACUGGCACAACUAAAUGCAGUGAAGACUCUACGACACAGAAAAGAAAGUUAAGUACUCUUUGCAUUGUCAAGAUUAAGAGAAUACUGUUUCACAACAGACUGCGAGGAUAACUUUUUGUUUAUGUAAGCAUCCUGUUUGGAUGUUAGUGUUCUAGUUAUUAACUGUUACAUGACUCCAGUACAUAGGGCCUGUGAAUGGAAUAAGUAUACUGUUGGACUGGAAGAUAUCCUUAUUGUAUUGUGAGUGAUGACGUGUUGUAGUUUUGUCUGUCUCCAAGGCUUGCCUUCUCUCUCCCUGUUCCAUAAGGAUUGCAGAGAAGACGGACUGCUGUAGUACAUGCAGACACCCCGAUAAGCGAGGCUGUCACCUACUAGAGUUAAGUAUCAGUGGCUGGGUUGGAAGACUAAUGCCUAUGUAGGGAGGGGCUGAAUGUGGGGUGUGUAAAUUAGCCCCCCUCAGAGAGCGUGUUGGGGAGAGCGAGUAUUAAGGACGGAUUGUUUUCAUUGUUUCUCCAGGAUCGACUUCACGGAAGGUGGAAGCACCCCCUGGAGGCAGGCGUGGGAUCUGGAUGCAAAGUAUUGGAAAGGAGCCAGUUGGACUUUCAUGGACAAAUUAAAGUGCCUGCAUUAUAGACCACUUUGGUCAGCUGGCUCCAAUUUGAAAUGCUGGCAGGUGAAAAGCAUCAUCACCAGUAAGAGUCUGAACUAGAGAUACAGUGCUGUAUCGACAUUACAGAUCCUCAAUCACCCCCUAAGGGUGGAGGAGGACUGAAGAGGAUUAGUGGCUUUAUUUCCAGGGUCACUGGGACUGCCAGUCUACAGAUAAAAUAAGAUCACAAAUUGCAUUGUGGGACGCAAAGCUCGGACUGUGCUCAUUUGCCCAACCCAACUAGAUUAACUGGACUUGGUUUGGACACUUCAAAGAUAAAUGAUGCUACAUAGGUUCGGAUUCAGGUCUUGUGCAUCGUUAUGUCUGACUAUGUAUAUCAUUUGUGGUGCAUGUAGUUAGACAGGGAUAAGCAUUUAGUUAGCAGGUAAAAUUGUAGUAAUUUGUAGGUUAAAAAAAAAUAAAUUCUAGGACAAAUGUAAUAAGAAUAAAAAUUAAUUCAAGGUUUUGGUUAUUAGUAUUGUAAGUCUGUAUUCAUAGUUUUAGUAAUAGUGAUUUUUUUUUAGUGUCCAAUAUUAGUUUCUAAUUGUCUUGUCUAUUGGUUACCUAAUGCCUGGGCCCUCUUGUGGCUUUUAGUCAAUUGAUUUCUGCUGUGUUCUGGAUUGUGUGUGGGGAAAAUAAAAACAU